Molecule: transfer RNA, 97 nt
Filed under: Agrobacterium salinitolerans
Lineage: Bacteria; Pseudomonadati; Pseudomonadota; Alphaproteobacteria; Hyphomicrobiales; Rhizobiaceae
Also listed under: 4 other names
Description: tRNA-OTHER
Source: RNAcentral
GACCACGAACGUCUUGCCGGCAAACGGCGGGACGGCGGCGAAAGCCGAAGCGGUAUGAAUCCUGGGGUCGGAGGUUCGAAUCCUCUCGUGGACACCA